GCCUGAUGCAGAGUUCGAACUCAGGAACCACCAGAUGAUGACCUGAGCCGAAGUCAGAUGCUUAACCGACUAAGCCACCCAGGUGCCCCAUUUCAACCAUUUCGAAGUGUGCAUUUGAGUGGUAUUGAGUGUGUCACCAUCCAUGGAGGGGUGGUUUUGAAAGGGCAUCCCUGGACUUAGUGAGAUCUCAGCCACGAGCAUGAGGCUGAGGUCAAGGCUGCAGCUGCUUCCUUCACGUGUGGGCGCUCACCAGUCUGUAGCGGAGCAAGGAGUCUGGAGCUCUUAUGCUUGACUCUCCAACCUCGUUACUGGAGGUGCCCACUGCCUCUGGUGCACCCCAGGCCCCUGAGCCUCGUGGCUUUCAAGGGUUCACCAAGCUCCCGUGUGCAGGAGUGCAGCGGACACACCGUCCUGUGUUCCAGGUGGGUGGAGAGGAGGAGGUGAUAUUGAUGGAGGCCACGCACGACACUCCCAGAGCUCCACAGCUCAUCCCAGGCCUUUUCCUGAGGCUGCCGGAACCUUCUUUGGAGCUCUCUGAAGGUCCAGCGUGCCUGGGACUCCAGGCGAGUCAGCUACUGGCUGGGCCCAGCCUCUCUCCCUACAGAAGAGGGCACGGAAGAGUUUAGAGAAUAAGAAGCAAGCUCUGCAUGUCCACCUGGGUCAGGAAAUGGAACGGUGUCUCAGCUCCUGGGAAACCCCCGUCUUUCCUUCGUGGCCCCUCUGUCUUCCCAGAGGUCACAGCCUCCCGACAUGUGGCAGUCUUUGACACAUUCGUUAUUUCAUUGGCUUCUGAAGACCAGGAGUCAAGGCACAGCCCAACCAAGUUCUCCCUCACAGGCUGCAAUCGAGGGGUCUCCUCUGGGGCUGUUCUGGAGAAGGGUCCACACUCACAUGGUUGCUGGCAGCAUUUAGCUACCUUCUGGGUGUCAACAAGAGGUCCACUCCAUGGGGCAGCCACAGCAUGGCAGCUUGCUGCUUCAAGCCAGCAAGGGAGACCGUCUCCAAGCAAGAGAGGCGUUAUUAAUCAUGGAAGCGACAUCCAGUCCCCUUUCAGAAUUUUGUGGGUUAAAAGCAAGCCGUAGCAUCCACUAGCAUUGCCACAGUUCAAAAAAGAAAAAAAAGGGAAAAGGAAGAAAGAAAAUAUAAUUGCUAGUGAAGAUGUGGAGGAACUGGAACCCUAAAUACUGCUGGUGGAACAGAGAAUAGGUCAGCUGCUGUGGAGAAGAGUCCGGCAAUGAGUUCCUCAACGCGUUGGAAUUCUGUAACCCAACAACUACAUUCCUAGAUACAUACCCAAGAGAACUGAAAGCAAGAACUCCGAUACUUGUGCACACACGUUUAGAGCUGCAUUUUUCACAAUAGCCAGAGGGUGAAAACAACCAAAUAUCCAUCAGCAGCUGGAUGGAUAGACAGAAGGAAGACAAAAUA
Molecule: long non-coding RNA, 1428 nt
Organism: Leopardus geoffroyi (Geoffroy's cat)
Lineage: Eukaryota; Metazoa; Chordata; Mammalia; Carnivora; Felidae
Exons: 2
Source: RefSeq, a predicted model, not a curated record